RNAcentral lists this ribosomal RNA (1018 nucleotides) under uncultured bacterium. RNAcentral describes it as "bacterial SSU rRNA". It matches the Rfam family "Bacterial small subunit ribosomal RNA", at positions 357 to 1376 of the family's 1533-position model. The record is from RNAcentral.
AGGAAUAUUGGUCAAUGGGCGUAAGCCUGAACCAGCCAAGUAGCGUGAGGGAAGACUGCCCUAUGGGUUGUAAACCUCUUUUGUGCGGGGAUAAAGUGAGGGACGUGUCCCUUAUUGCAGGUACCGCACGAAUAAGGACCGGCUAAUUCCGUGCCAGCAGCCGCGGUAAUACGGAAGGUCCGGGCGUUAUCCGGAUUUAUUGGGUUUAAAGGGAGCGCAGGCCGUCCUUUAAGCGUGCUGUGAAAUGCCGCGGCUCAACCGUGGCACUGCAGCGCGAACUGGAGGACUUGAGUACGCACGAGGUAGGCGGAAUUCGUGGUGUAGCGGUGAAAUGCUUAGAUAUCACGAAGAACCCCGAUUGCGAAGGCAGCCUGCUAAGCCGCCACUGACGUUGAGGCUCGAAAGUGCGGGUAUCAAACAGGAUUAGAUACCCUGGUAGUCCGCACGGUAAACGAUGGAUACUCGCUGUUGGCGAUAGACGGUCAGCGGCCAAGCGAAAGCGUUAAGUAUCCCACCUGGGGAGUACGCCGGCAACGGUGAAACUCAAAGGAAUUGACGGGGGCCCGCACAAGCGGAGGAACAUGUGGUUUAAUUCGAUGAUACGCGAGGAACCUUACCCGGGCUUGAAUUGCAGGAGAACGAUCCAGAGAUGGUGAGGCCCUUCGGGGCUCCUGUGAAGGUGCUGCAUGGUUGUCGUCAGCUCGUGCCGUGAGGUGUCGGCUCAAGUGCCAUAACGAGCGCAACCCCUGUCCAUAGUUGCCAUCAGGUCGUGCUGGGCACUCUGUGGAGACUGCCGCCGUAAGGUGUGAGGAAGGUGGGGAUGACGUCAAAUCAGCACGGCCCUUACGUCCGGGGCUACACACGUGUUACAAUGGGGCAUACAGCGAGUUGGAUGUGCGCAAGUACGUCCGGAUCAAUAAAGUGCCUCUCAGUUCGGACUGGGGUCUGCAACCCGACCCCACGAAGCUGGAUUCGCUAGUAAUCGCGCAUCAGCCAUGGCGCGGUGAAUACGUUCCCG